This is a long non-coding RNA of Equus caballus (horse), 7539 nucleotides long. NCBI's taxonomy places the organism in Eukaryota, Metazoa, Chordata, Mammalia, Perissodactyla, Equidae. The record is from Ensembl.
CACUGUUGAUUCAACAAAUGUACAAUACGCGCCAGGCACUGCCCUCGAAGAUCACGGAAGUGACAGUUGCAUAGAUGCAUAAUUGCAAUCACAUUGCAACAAAUACCAUGCUUAUAUGUUCCAAGUCACAGCAGCAGCCUAGAAGAAGCAGCUACUCUUUUCAGUUGGAUCCUAGAAAAGGUGACACUGGUGCUGAGUCUCGAAGGAGUGGUGAGGAUGUCUCUGUGCAUUAGUGCUGCCGUGAGUGGACCGGGCACUCCAGGAGAAUCCCCAGCAAGCUGCAUUCCUGACUGGAGAUGUCAAGGGGACCUCAUGUGAACUGCCAGCCACCGAUUCGCUUAUGAGGUUGGAGGAAAUAGCUGGGAGGCUGCCCUCACCUUCCAGCCUGGAACUGGGCUGAGGGAAGUUCCAUUGCUCGCUCACAGGCCACCCGCCUGGCUCUGGGAUGGCUUUGGCAAACUUUGCUCCUGGCAGGCUGGACCCACAGGAACCCUGUCAUUUCUGAGCUUGUGUCAGAGCGUGUGGCGGAAAAAGGCUCUGUGGCCACAGGGCAAGCCAAGGCCAAUGAGAUGGCCCUGCAUGAUGAAGGGAAAGGGACCCAGUCCACAGUGGACCUCAGGGGCUUGGGAGUCAGAAUUUCUGGGCCCUGAAAUUAUCCUUUUCAGGCAUUGGGAGGUGUCAAUUCUGAGGAUCACGAGAGGGACUGUGGGGUCAAUGGUGACCUCCAAACCCAACCACAAGAAUUUGGCUCAGUGACACGAGUUGAACUGACAAUCCAGCUCAGCACCACCUCCUCCAGGAAGGCCUCUCUGGUUCACCCCACUAGCUUCUCUACUGGGGGCUGCUGCUGAGACUCCUAGUCUAAGAAAGGACAAUUCUCUGCUAAACUCUUCCCACUGCUAAAUUCUUCCUGCAAGCUUUUAUUGAAGUUUAGGGCAACAGAAGCACAAGCCAGAGAGAGCUUUAUGACAAUGGCUUGAGCUUAGAGUCCGCACCUCCCUGGCAGAACUCCAGGUAACAUGGGACCAUGGCACUCCUGUUCCCAAAGUGGUGCCAGCGACCAUGAACCUCCUCCAGAAUGGCACUUCCCAGGCAUCUUCUCCCAUCACAGUACCGUCCACAGUACUGCCCUUUGGUCCCUGAGGGGAGAGCAAAGUUUCCUGCUGCUUGGACGAAGACCCUGGCCUUUUCCUGCCCAAAACGAUUGGCAAUGGGAGUAUCGAUUGCCUGUAGGAGAAAGCCCAUUGAUCAACUGACCCAUCGAUCCAUUGCGCAAUUGACCUAUUGCUCACAAGAGAAACCCCAUCCCACCCACUGCGGUCUUGUCCCCCUACCUCCUAGAAGACACAGCCUGGGCUUCCAAAGCCCGCGUUUGUCUGUCUUAAAUUAUCCCCCAUGGAGGCCUCACCAUCGUGGCCCUGGCCAGGUGCUGGUGGGGGUUUCCGUCUAGCGUUAGGGGCAGAGAAAAUCAGACUCUCUGCCCUCCAGCCACAGCUGCCUCCCAAUUGCCUGUGACCAAACGUAGGACAAGGGAUACGCAGGUCCCAAAACAAGCAACCAUUUUCAGUUGUGAGCUCCAUAAAUAUGGACUGAGGAAGAAAAGUGUUCUCUAACUCAGCAAGGAUACCGUGCUGGGAGCAUGACAUUACUACCACAUAGGUUAUCAUUGCAUAAUAAAUAGGACGUACUUCUCAGUCUGUGCUUCAGUGACAUCAUGCUGUUGGGGCCUCCCAGGGGUGGUGAGCACUCUCAUGAGGACUAAGAGGUCCCCCAAGUCCUCCUUCUCAGUAGGAAUGGAGAAUGUGCCCCACCAACAAAAUGUUUCCUCUAGCCUACAACUUCCUACGCCCUGGCAGGUGUCCCAGCUUCAGUAAUUUAACAGCCACCAGUACUUGUUACAAACAUGUAACAAAUAUGCACUCUGCCCCAGGACAAAGCUGGGCGCUUUGCAUAAAGGUAUUAUUUGAUUCUCACAGCAAUCCUGGGAAGUAGCUCCUAUUAGAGGAGGAAACUGAGGUUCAGAGAGGUUAAGUGUAUUGUCCAAAGUCCCACAGUGAGCGGCUGAGGCAGGACUCAAACCCUUGUCAGAAUCCGUGCCCAUUCUCUCAGCCAUCAGGCGGUACAACCUCCAAAAUGGGGCGACAUCACCACAUGCAGGAGAACUAAGAAUGAGAAACUGUCUCCAACUAUACGCCGAGUCCUACCAGAUGCUGAGCUGGAAGGGAGGGGAAUAAAAGAUGGGUCCGUAAUGGUCCUUACCUUCAAGAAGCCCACAUUCCAAUUAGGAGGCAAGAUGGAUUCAAACCCCACAAUGUGCCACAAUGAGAUGAUAAGCUGUGUAGUCCUGAUUAUCAGAAAAGGGAUAAAUCGUAAAUUAAAAGACUCAGGGAAGAAUCAGGGAGGGCUGCGUGAAGGAGGUGCAACUUAAAGUGGACUGUGUGGGGUUGAGAGUGGGAGGAAGAAGAAAGAAGAGUAUUCUAGACAGGAAGAGCAUCAAGAACAAAACCCUUGAGAGGAGAAUGAGCUUGGUAUUUUUAUGAGUCAGGGAGUCAGUCCGCCAACCAGUCUAGGGGUGCGGAGAGAGAACGUGCAGGAAGGAAGUUAGCCUAUGCAGGGCACUGUCUGGCAAAAGGUUGAUUUGGAUAUGGGAGCACUGGGGAGCCAUUGUGGGUUCUGGAGUGAGUGCUCAUGUGAUAAAAGGAGUGAGUAAGUAAGAUGGGGAUCCCUGCUCCCCAGCUUCUUGAAUUAUGAUCGUAGUUGAGAGGUAACCCCUCCGGCUACAGAUUGGAGACUGCCCCAGAGAGCGCUCAGGGUGCCUUAAAUCUGGGGGCCCCUGAGGCCUUACACGGGUCUUUCUCAGCAGGGCUCCAGAACCUGUGAGAGCUGUCUGCAAGUGAGAGGGGUCAGGCUGAGAAGAGGCAUUCGGGGAAUGGGGUGGUUCAGUUAUGCAUACCUGCUCCCUAGAUGGAGAGGUGAGGAGGAGAGAGCGCUGACAUGUGCAUAUUAAUAUAGAGAUAUUGUAUAUAUAUGUGUGUGUGUGUGUAUGCUCACAUAUACAUCUCCCAGGGGACAACACUUCAGCUAAGCCAGCAAGCAGUGGAAACUGUGCAUAAGCUACCUGAAGCACUUUGAUGUGCCUCUAAACUAUUUUGGCAUCAAAGCCUGAUGGACCAUAUGGAAAGAAAAAAGUGCCAAAAAAGAGAGGCUUAUACUGAAAGAAACCAGGAGCCUGGCCUGAUGGGCCCGACGUGGACCAGAGAUGAGCCGGACUUUCUGUAGAGAAAGUGGGACGUCCCAGGGAAGCAGCUUCACUGGGUUGCAACAACGUUAUGUGCCUAAUGAGUCGUCCUAAAAAUUACAGGCUGAGGUGGUCAAGACCCUUGGCUUAAGUGACGGGAAUCCAAAUCCAAAUUCAAAGCAGUUCAAGCAAAAGGGAAAUACGCUGGCUCAAGUAUUAGAGUCAUUUGGUUUCAGGCACAGCUGAAUCCAGGGUACUCUUGCGAUAUAAGCAGGACUCUCUCUGGUCAGCUCUCAGCUUUGCUUUCGCCUGUGUGGCCUCAUUUUCUGGCACUAUUUUUCCGUGUUGUAGCAAAAGGGAUGCCCGCCAGCUCCAGCCAAGGUCCUUCGGAAGGAGGGAGAUUCUGCCUCUUCCAUGGCUCGUUUUGGUCUUCUGCCCAUCCCUGGACCGAUCACUGUGUCCUGUGAAUGGCACACUCUGGUUGGCCAGCCCAAGUUUCAUGACCAUUCAUGUGGUGGGGGAGGCCUGGACCUUGAUUGACAGCUCAUCAGAAUCCCAAAGUGCUGGGAAGAAAGAAAGUCCCCAAAAGGGAAAGUGCGGGGCAGAAAAAAAGAAUCAGAUAUUCAUGACAGUGCAAUGGAAGUUGCGAGUCCAGAGACAGUGGUCCUGAAAGCACGAGCGUUGGAAGAAGACAGUGAGGUGUCAGGCAGAGGGAAGGCUUGGGCAAAGACAUUAGAGGGAGUCCUGUUCCAAAAAGAUUUCCACCAAUCUGGCUAUAUUCAAACGUUAAUUUUUCUCUCUUUUUCCUUUUUUAUGCUGAUAAGUAAAUGAAAAGGAAUAGGAUAUAUUGGAGGAUAUGAGGAAGCCAUUUGGUGUAAAACUAAUUCAGCCUGACCUUGUUAUUCCAAGAGGGCCCAAAAGCGCCUGUUGAGCUUGCACUGUACAUCUGCUUUAAACAUUUACUAUGUCCCAAAGACAAGAAUGAUGCCCUUAAAGGUAAGGAUGUAGCUUCCCCCAAUAUCGGCAUUUCUUUGGGGAUAAGCAUCUCUCUCCGGAAACUAAGGAUUAAUUACCAAUCUUCUGUGCUCACCUUGUGACCACUGACCUGCUGACCUCUGACCUGCUGUGCCAGCUAAGCAUCUCCUGACAGUAGUAAAAAAGAUAGUCCUGUCAUAUGUGAUGUACGCUCUGCAUUCCAAGACAGUAUCCACUCUGUACACCCCACUUCUUUGGUGCCCUUCUUUCCUUCCGGAAGGCUCCAGGCUCCAGUCCUCAAACUUGGCUCAUAAUGAACUCACCCCAGUUUUGAUUUAUAGAUUGACUAUGGAUUAUUUGUGUCAACAGUGCCUACUAUUGAUGCUGAAGAGAGCAGGAUUGGGGCGCAUUUAAAAGGCUGGAUUGCUUAUUUCUCUUAGGCAAUAAAAUGAAAGAGAAUCAGUUCUUCCUCUCCCCCAUAAAUUGCUGGGCAGAAUGAAAGGCUGUCCUCAUUUCCCAGAAGCAGAGGGCCCUAUGCUCCCAGAAACCACUAGCCUUAGCAGAGGCAGCCAAGCUCAAUGGGAGCAGAUUUCUGAGCACUGCCCCCCAGGGGUCCAGCAGCAGUACCCUGGACGAUGGUCACAUUGGUCCCCCAAGCAGUCACAUCAAUCUCAGUCACAGCUACUUCUCUCAUUCCCUACUCACUUGGCGGGGGCCUGGUGAAGAGCUUCUGUCCCAAGCUGUGGGGUCCCAGGUGGUCUUGGGAAGAGGAGAGGAUGCUCCAGGCUGGCUGGACCUGGGUUGCACGCACGCACUCAUUCGUUGAUCGUUGGUUGAGCUCUAUCACGUGUAAGGCACGGCACUAAGCCCAGGAGCUGUAGGGACAAUUAGACAUCGCCUUUGCCCUUAACGAGCUCACUCUGUGCCAGGGGAGCAGACAUGUGUGCUAGAUAAAAAAUGCUUUUGCUGCUGAACCUCCCCACCCAUUUUGAGAGAAUCGUUCCUUCUUGCCUCAAGCCUGUGUGAUACUGUAGACUUAAUUACAGACCUCCUCUCUCCCCACUGCCAUCGUUGGCUCAGGCAUGGCACACGAAGCAACCUGAUACAAAAGCUUUAUUGGGAUUUUUCCAACUGGAGCCUGCAGGCGCCAUAUUCUUUUCUCCUUGUUUUUCAUGAUGAUCGGAGAAUGUGACCCAUGGUGCUAUGAAUGGGAUUUUUUUUCCAGUUAAAAUUUUGAGUUGGUUAUUGGUAUAUAUAAAAACAAUCAUUUUAUUAAAUGUUGCCUGCAUCUUGCAACCUUGUUAAACUUAUUUAUUCAUUCUAAUGAUUUGACAGUAGAUUUUCUUGGGGUUUUUCUUGGCAUUUCUGUACAGAUGGUUGCUCUACCUGCGGAUGAGGAGUUUCGUCUCUUCUCUUCCAGUUAUUUUAUUGCUUAUUUAUUUUCCUGGUCAUUUCUUUGGCUAGGAGGCCCAGUAAACAUUGAAGAGUUAGUUGGUUGGGAGUGGGCAUCCUUGUCUUAUUUCUGAUAUUAAUGCAAAUGCUUCUAAAGUUUCACAAUUAAUACUAUGCAAUCAUUAAAAAAAACGAAAAUCUUCAACAUGUAUUAUUAAUUGAAAUUUGUAUAUAUUCCUUAUAACUGUUUUAUACCAGUGGUAGCAUACUAAUACACACUGUUCUGCACCUUCCUAAGCCUAUGUGUAUAUGCUUGUAUAUGUUUUGAAUAUCUAUGGAAAGAUCUGGAAAAAACUGGGAACAUUGGCAGCUUGCAGGGGAGGCAACUGAGUAGCUAAUGAGACGUUCAGCUCUAAGUACCACUUUAGCUGUAUACUGAAGUUUUGAUAUGUAGUGUUCUUAAUGUUCUUCAGUUCAAAAUAUUUUCUGUUCUAUUAUGAUUUCAUUUCUCUUGUUUAGAGUGUUCUGUUUGUUGUUUUUUUUUUCAUAAGGAAGAUUGGCAACAAUCUUUUUGCUUGAGGAAGAUUGCCACUGAGCUAACAUCUGUGCCAUACUUUUCUCUGUUUUAUGUGGGACGCUGCCACAGCUGCCUUGACAAGCAGUGCUAGGUCUGUGCCUGGGAUGCGAACCUGUGAACCGUGAGCCACUGAAGUGGAGCACGUGAACUUAACCACUAUGCCAUCGGGCCAGCCCCUAAAGUGUAUUUUUCAGUUUCCAAACUUUUGGACAUUUGACAUUCAGUUUAAUUGCAUUGUGGACAGGGGACGUGGACCUUAUUAUUUUAAUCAUUUGAAAAUAUUGUGACCUAAUACACGAUCACUUUCUAAGUGUUCCACAUAUACUUGAAAAUAAUGUUUUCUUUAUUUAACAGAUACAGCAUUCUAUAUAUCUUUACCUUUCAUAGUUAAGUGUACCAACACGGAGGAUCAAUUCAUCAUUGUUUCUUGACCCCCAUGCCUUCCCUCCUAGUUAAUUUUUCUUCUUGUUGAAGUAUAUACAUGAAUAACUAUUUUAAUGAAUGUCUAUGAGUAAUACAUGUUUUUAAUCUUUGUAUUCCAAAGCAUUUCUUAAUUUAUCUGGGGCUAAAAUUAGAGGUUGUUAUUUAUUUUCCCUCAUUACCUUGAACAUAUUUCUCUACAGCGAGAAGCUGUAUAAACAGUGGUCAUAAACGUCUGGAACUAGAUCACUUAGUUUGAGUACCAGUGCCUCCUCUUAUUAAUUGUAAGAACUUGGGCAAGAACUACUGAACUUCUCUGUGCCUCGGUUUCCUCAGCUGUAAGGGGACGAUACGAAUCCUAUCUUACAGAAUUCUUGUUGGGACUCAGUUAGUUCAGACACAUAAAAUACUUGGUGUGGAGUCCAGCACGUGGUACCACUCAAGUUGUAAUUGCCAUCUCUGACCUCUUCUGUUGCUGAUGAGAAAAUUACUCAGUCCUUUCCAGGCAAUCAUAUUCUUCUCCCUGAAAAUCUCUUUAAUAUUUUCUUUCUAUCUGGGUUGUUCUUCAGCUUCUCUCAGGAUGUACUUUCAAUCUGGAGGGCUCAGUCUUUCUACCAUUCUGGAAAAUUCUGAGUCGUUAUUCCUAUAUUAGUUUUUCUCUACUAUCUCUCUGCAACUUCUAUAUUCUGUCUGUUGUAGCCUCUCAAACUAUCCUCCAUAUUUCUUAAUUGUUCUGACAUACUUUUAAACUUUUGUCUCCCUUUGUCAUGUUUUGAGUAAACUCCCUGGUGUUAUCUUUCAACUCACUUCUUUUCAUGACUGCACCAAGUUUAGAUUUUAGCCAGCAUAUUAGAUUUUUUAUUUUAGGACUGCAUUUUAUAUUUCCAAGAUUACUAAUUGGUUCUUUUUCAUAUCCAUCUUUUUUUUUAAAAAAAAG